CUUUGUUUUUUUUGUUCCUUUCUUGAUGAAGACAGAAAAGUUUUAUCAUAUUUUUUCACUGAAAUAUUUGUCCUUUAUUUUUUGGUUCCAAUUAUCAUGCACAACGAGAGUGAACAGGCUAAGACUGGGAGCCAAAUGUAUAGUGGGGAAACUCAGAACCAGUCAAUACCAGUAGUUACUGCUUGGCAAUUCAACGAAAGAAUGUAUGGUGAAUUACUGGGCCUCAAUAAGCAGGAAACUGCUGAAAAUUUUGGCAAGGAGAAAGUUCACGAGUGACGCUGCAGUUAUAAUAUUCCUCCUCCAAAUGGCGAGAGUUUGGAAAUGUGUGCUGAAAGGGCUGUUGCUUAUUUCAAAGAACAUGUUAUCAGCCUGGAGUUAUCGGCUGGAAUUCCUAUGCUCUAUAUUUUCAAAGAAGGAAAGUUCAUCUGAAGAGGGAGCCCAGUUGCACCUUCUGAGGCCAGUGUUUAUGCUUAUACUAGGACCUUGGCUCGGUACAGACAGAAGCUAGAUGAGAUGGUAUUUGAAAGAUUCACAAUUGUUGAAGAAGAUUUACAUGGUUUUGUAGCUUCAGCGUGUACUAUAAGAAAAAGGAAAAGUGUUUCAAUGUCGUAGAGUUGCAAUCUACCUGUUGAAUGUAGAUGCGCUUUUUGUAUUCAUUUACUUCAUGUGUGCUCCCUAAAAUGUGUCGAAAUGGAAGCGAGAAUGUGAUUUUGUUA
Long non-coding RNA from Asparagus officinalis (garden asparagus), 716 nucleotides. RefSeq lists it as uncharacterized. The transcript has 5 exons. The record is from RefSeq and is a predicted model, not a curated record. Lineage: Eukaryota; Viridiplantae; Streptophyta; Magnoliopsida; Asparagales; Asparagaceae.